GACGUAGGGCGCGAGCGUUGUCCGGAUUUAUUGGGCGUAAAGAGCUCGUAGGCGGCUUGUCGCGUCGUGUGUGAAAUCUCAGGGCUCAACUCUGACAUUGCAUACGAUACGGGCAGGCUUGAGUUCGGUAGGGGAGACUGGAAUUCCUGGUGUAGCGGUGAAAUGCGCAGAUAUCAGGAGGAACACCGGUGGCGAAGGCGGGUCUCUGGGCCGAUACUGACGCUGAGACGCGAAAGCGUGGGGAGCGAACAGG
RNAcentral lists this ribosomal RNA (253 nucleotides) under uncultured bacterium. RNAcentral's name for it is "partial 16S ribosomal RNA". It matches the Rfam family "Bacterial small subunit ribosomal RNA", at positions 524 to 776 of the family's 1533-position model. The record is from RNAcentral.